UUAAAACUUAUGAUAGAGCAAGUAAUGAUACCACUAUUGGCUAGAGAGAAAAAGACAUGGGCUGCAAUCUUUUUCACAAAAAUGUAUCAUGAAUAACACUCUUGAAGUUCUUUAAUGAAAUGUAGUAGUUAAAGACGGUUACGAGCCGUUAGUCGUUUGAGGUGGGCAAACUUUUUGCCAACUAGGGUGGAACCGCGGAAGCUAUUAGCUCUCGUCCCUUGC
Molecule: non-coding RNA, 222 nt
Organism: Lysinibacillus sp. BF-4
Lineage: Bacteria; Bacillati; Bacillota; Bacilli; Caryophanales; Bacillaceae
Source: Rfam